UCCCGAGAGCCUGCUGUAAAUACGCCAGC
RNAcentral lists this non-coding RNA (29 nucleotides) under Mus musculus (house mouse). Lineage: Eukaryota; Metazoa; Chordata; Mammalia; Rodentia; Muridae. The record is from RNAcentral.